This 160-nucleotide non-coding RNA is filed under the name uncultured Intestinibacter sp. RNAcentral describes it as "Lysine riboswitch". It matches the Rfam family "Lysine riboswitch aptamer". Rfam says of the family: Riboswitches are metabolite binding domains within certain messenger RNAs that serve as precision sensors for their corresponding targets. Allosteric rearrangement of mRNA structure is mediated by ligand binding, and this results in modulation of gene expression. Lineage: Bacteria; Bacillati; Bacillota; Clostridia; Peptostreptococcales; Peptostreptococcaceae. The record is from RNAcentral.
GGGUAGAGGCGCUUUAAAAUAACAGUAUUUAUAAGGAGCUGGCAAGUUACGAUUUAUAAAGAAAGGAUUUUAGAGCCGAAGUUGUAGACUUGGCGAAGUCUGCUGCUGGAUUUAUGCAUAAUAUGUAUGAGUCUGUCACAUAUCUGUGAUGAGCUACAAG